This 75-nucleotide transfer RNA is filed under the name Desulfovibrionaceae bacterium. RNAcentral describes it as "tRNA-Val". It matches the Rfam family "tRNA". From Rfam's summary of the family: Transfer RNA (tRNA) molecules are approximately 80 nucleotides in length. Their secondary structure includes four short double-helical elements and three loops (D, anti-codon, and T loops). Lineage: Bacteria; Pseudomonadati; Thermodesulfobacteriota; Desulfovibrionia; Desulfovibrionales; Desulfovibrionaceae. The record is from RNAcentral.
UGGACCGUAGCUCAGGGGGAGAGCACUUGCUUGACACGCAAGGGGUCGGGAGUUCAAAUCUCCCCGGUCCAACCA